Molecule: long non-coding RNA, 1455 nt
Organism: Hemicordylus capensis (graceful crag lizard)
Lineage: Eukaryota; Metazoa; Chordata; Lepidosauria; Squamata; Cordylidae
Exons: 8
Source: RefSeq, a predicted model, not a curated record
UAUAGCAACAAUGGUCUUGACAGGCUAAUGCAGGAAUCUUCAAGCAGGCUAGCUGCUAUGUCUCUGUGGGGUGGAAGAUAGAUCAGCAGGGCUGGAUUAACCCAUAGGCUAAGAAGGGUGUUGCCAUAGGCCCUCAUAUUAUUAGGCCCUACUUUAGGCACUCCACUCUAGCUUCUCUCUCCCACUAGCCUUAGGCCUCUCAUAACUUAAUUUGACUCUGCAGUCCACUCUGAAAUCCUACAGCUCUGAUUCACACAGGCUUCAAGCUGGAGGAGAGGAGACCCUUUGGAGGAGGAGGAGCUCAGCCCAUCUAAGAUUCCUGGCCCCAGUAAAAGCCCCUUAUUUCCAGCAGUCCUUGAGCAACCAGAGCUCAUUGCAGUUGCCCCUUCAAAGAAGCCUUGGAGCUCCGAAGACCUGGUGCGGCCCAGCAAGCUGUAGGGCUGGGAAGCAACAUAGGCAAAGAUAUCUCUUGAGCCAGGUGAAACACUGAAUCAACCUUGGGGAGGAACGAGACAUCAAGGCAUAAAACUACCCUAUCUCUAUGAAAAACCAGAGCUGCUGUACCCGAGCACUCAAAUUGGUGAUGUCCAUAUCUUCCACACUGCGAGGCAUGGAGAGUUCACAUCGGAAUGGAGACGGCGGCCGUGAUCCAUUGUGAGGAGCCACGGAGUUGCAGAAUGCAUGGUUACCUUCUUCCUGACUUGAAGCCUCCGAGCUGUCCUCCUUGAAAUGCUCUGGAGUCUUAGAUGUCUUCAGGGAGGACUGAAGGCUAUCUGAAGGUAGCCAACAUAAUAAGAACCUUUCAGUAUAUAUGUGGCAGCAAUCAGAGUUUUUUCAUGAGCUGGAGUGUGAAUGUGAGUGUAUGAACGUAAUCAAGGGUCAUCAUUUGAGAGGUUGAACAUGAGAAGCUCUAAGAACAUGAGCCAUGAAGGAUCUGUCAACUGUGCUGAGAAAGUAUAUGACAACAUUUAUUGGAGCCACGCACCAGAUCCAAAUUAUAAGGCUUAAUGAUUCCAGGACCAGGUGCAAUCUGCGGCCACGGUCCAGUGUCAGGAGUCAAGGACUCAGAGAACCUGGUCUCUGCACAGGUGCAUAAAUCAAGUUAGAUCACAGAGAAGAAUUUCCAGUUGCCGCUACUGACUAUUUCUGGACCCCUGCAUUAGAUUUACUAGCAUGAUAUACACAAUUUAAAAGAAACAUUAACCACAAGCAAGAAGCUUCAUGUCUCAACUCUGAAGUACAGAUAAAUCCAAUCAUUUAUCAAAAUGGCAGCUACAAGCAUCAACCUCACACAUACAGGCAAUAAGUAUGUUGAAGAUCAUUUUCUAGUCCACAGAUUGAUCACUUACUUUGAAGGUAUACUCUAGAUGUUUGUCAGCCCUUUUCCUUGGCGCUCCUUUCAGCAUUAUCUUCUCAAUGUGUACAGCUAAAAGAAAAUCAAAAUAAAGAUAAAGA